This 914-nucleotide long non-coding RNA is filed under the name Nicotiana benthamiana. Its description in RNAcentral is "long non-coding RNA (NBEN_LNC039440)". Lineage: Eukaryota; Viridiplantae; Streptophyta; Magnoliopsida; Solanales; Solanaceae. The record is from RNAcentral.
AAAAUCUAAAUUCUAUGAGGUAGAGAAAAUGAUAAAAAAGAAGCAAACAGAAUAAAGUAGCAAGAUAGGGAGAUGAGCAAUCGAAAAAAAAAACCAAUACACAUUACAACAACACCAACCCAGUAUAAUCCCAUUUAGUGGGGUCUGAUGAGGGUAGUAUGUACGCAGACCUUACCCCUACCUGGGGUAGAGAAGCUGUUUCCUAAUAGACUCCCGGCAUCAUUCCCUCUAAGAACUUCUCACCUUGUUCAUGUGUACCCAGACCAAUACACAUUGAUUAAAUGAAAUCAAAGAAGCCCAAACAAUCCAAAAAUACCAAGCAAUAUAAGCCAAACAAUGUGAAGCAAAAGAAGAACUUGGCCUGAAACCGGUGCAGACCCUCCAUUUCCCACCUCACAAAAACCAAGUUUGACCACACGCACGCCUGCACAACCUGCAUCCGCACAACCACACCAGUAGGUUUUACCGUCGACUCCGCAAACGGGGUCAGGACGAAAGCACUUAACGGGACAAGAAUAAUGAUUAUCUGUUACCAACCGCGGUGGCGUCAAGGGGCAGAUUUCUUGGUUGUCUUGUUCAGAAGGCAAUCUCAAGUGAUUACCUUCGUCUCCAUGAACGGCCACGGGGAAAGAGAUGAAGGAAUAUAACAGGGAAAAAGGAGCAGAUGAAAUGGGGAAGAAAGAACGAAAGCUCUCGCGUUAUUCCCCAUUUCACUUGCUCCCGAGAUUAUUGAAUAUUCAAAUGAAGCACACAAAUAUAUCCUUCUUCCACGAAAUUGCAAUCCCUGUCCCUCAAAAAGGAUUGCAAUAAGAGGGAAUUUCUGGUCUCCAAAGGUAAAUGGGUUAUUUUUUUCUUUUCACAACUUCUUGUUAUGCACUUUCUAUUUCAAGGCACAUAUCUUUGUUACAGCGCAA